RNAcentral lists this non-coding RNA (24 nucleotides) under Arabidopsis thaliana (thale cress). The record is from RNAcentral. Lineage: Eukaryota; Viridiplantae; Streptophyta; Magnoliopsida; Brassicales; Brassicaceae.
AUGCAAAGAUGAUGCCAAUACUAC